Molecule: ribosomal RNA, 754 nt
Filed under: Plasmodium ovale wallikeri
Lineage: Eukaryota; Apicomplexa; Aconoidasida; Haemosporida; Plasmodiidae
Description: SSU rRNA
Rfam family: Eukaryotic small subunit ribosomal RNA
Source: RNAcentral
GUUUUUUGAGUAAAUUAGAGUGUUCAAGCAAACAGUUAAAGCAUUUUACUGCGUUUGAAUACUACAGCAUGGAAUAACAAAAUUGAACAAGUCAAAACUCUGUUCCUUUUUCUUAUUUUGGCUUAGUUACGAUUAAUAGGAGUAGCUUGGGGGCAUUUGUAUUCAGAUGUCAGAGGUGAAAUUCUUAGAUUUUCUGGAGACAAACAACUGCGAAAGCAUUUGCCUAAAAUACUUCCAUUAAUCAAGAACGAAAGUUAAGGGAGUGAAGACGAUCAGAUACCGUCGUAAUCUUAACCAUAAACUAUGCCGACUAGGUUUUGGAUGAAAGAUUUUUAAAUAAGAAAAUUCCUUUUGGAAAUUUCUUAGAUUGCUUCCUUCAGUACCUUAUGAGAAAUCAAAGUCUUUGGGUUCUGGGGCGAGUAUUCGCGCAAGCGAGAAAGUUAAAAGAAUUGACGGAAGGGCACCACCAGGCGUGGAGCUUGCGGCUUAAUUUGACUCAACACGGGGAAACUCACUAGUUUAAGACAAGAGUAGGAUUGACAGAUUAAUAGCUCUUUCUUGAUUUCUUGGAUGGUGAUGCAUGGCCGUUUUUAGUUCGUGAAUAUGAUUUGUCUGGUUAAUUCCGAUAACGAACGAGAUCUUAACCUGCUAAUUAGCGGCGAAUACGUUAUAUUCCUACUUGAAAUUGAAUAUAGCUGAAUUUGCUUAUUUUGAAGAAUAUAUUAGGAUACAUUAUAUGUGCCUUUUGCGAUUU